RNAcentral lists this ribosomal RNA (253 nucleotides) under uncultured bacterium. RNAcentral's name for it is "partial 16S ribosomal RNA". It matches the Rfam family "Bacterial small subunit ribosomal RNA", at positions 524 to 776 of the family's 1533-position model. The record is from RNAcentral.
UACGUAGGUGGCAAGCGUUAUCCGGAAUUAUUGGGCGUAAAGCGCGCGCAGGCGGUUUCUUAAGUCUGAUGUGAAAGCCCACGGCUCAACCGUGGAGGGUCAUUGGAAACUGGGGAACUUGAGUGCAGAAGAGAAAAGCGGAAUUCCACGUGUAGCGGUGAAAUGCGUAGAGAUGUGGAGGAACACCAGUGGCGAAGGCGGCUUCUUGGUCUGUUCUUGACGCUGAGGCGCGAAAGCUAGGGGAGCAAACGGG